Molecule: ribosomal RNA, 633 nt
Filed under: uncultured bacterium
Lineage: Bacteria
Description: bacterial SSU rRNA
Rfam family: Bacterial small subunit ribosomal RNA
Source: RNAcentral
AACGGCCUCGUGGUAGCAAUACCGCGGGGUAGUGGCGAACGGGUGAGUAACACGUGGGUAAUCUUCCCCCGAGUGAGGAAUAAGCUUGCGAAAGCGGGUCUAAUACCGCAUAACGUCCUGGGGCUUAUGCCCUUGGACCAAAGCCGUAAGGCGCUUGGGGAUGAGCCUGCGUCCUAUUAGCUAGUUGGUAGGGUAAUGGCCUACCAAGGCGAUGAUGGGUAGCCGGCCUGAGAGGGUGAUCGGCCACACUGGAACUGAGACACGGUCCAGACUCCUACGGGAGGCAGCAGUGAGGAAUUUUGCGCAAUGGGCGAAAGCCUGACGCAGCGACGCCGCGUGGAGGAUGACGGCCUUCGGGUUGUAAACUCCUGUCAGAAGUGAAGAAUGCCCGCAAGGGCUUGACGGUAACUUCAGAGGAAGCCCCGGCUAACUACGUGCCAGCAGCCGCGGUAAUACGUAGGGGGCGAGCGUUGCUCGGAAUUACUGGGCGUAAAGGGAGUGCAGGCGGCCUGUUAAGUCAAAGAUGAAAUCCCGAGGCUUAACUUCGGAAUGGUCUUUGAUACUGGCGGGCUUGAGGCUGGUUGAGGCGAGCGGAAUUCCCGGUGGAGCGGUGAAAUGCGUAGAUAUCGGGAG